Molecule: ribosomal RNA, 463 nt
Filed under: uncultured bacterium
Lineage: Bacteria
Description: partial 16S ribosomal RNA
Rfam family: Bacterial small subunit ribosomal RNA
Source: RNAcentral
GACGAACGCUGGCGGCGUGCUUAACACAUGCAAGUCGAACGGAAAGGCCUUUUCGGAGGUACUCGAGUGGCGAACGGGUGGGUAACACGUGGGUGAUCUGCCCUGCACUCUGGGAUAAGCCUGGGAAACUGGGUCUAAUACCGGAUAGGACCGCACUUUAGUGUGUGUGGGGGAAAGUUUUUUCGGUGUAGGAUGAGCCCGCGGCCUAUCAGCUUGUUGGUGGGGUAAUGGCCUACCAAGGCGGCGACGGGUAGCCGGACUGAGAGGUUGGUCGGCCACAAUGGGGCUGAGAUACGGCCCAGAAUCCUACGGGAGGCAGCAGUGGGGAAUAUUGCACAAUGGGCGCAAGCCUGAUGCAGCGACGCCGCGUGGGGGAUGACGGCCUUCGGGUUGUAAACUCCUUUCGCCAGGGACGAAGCGUUUUGUGACGGUACCUGGAGAAGAAGCACCGGCUAACUACGUG